Molecule: ribosomal RNA, 497 nt
Filed under: uncultured bacterium
Lineage: Bacteria
Description: partial 16S ribosomal RNA
Rfam family: Bacterial small subunit ribosomal RNA
Source: RNAcentral
GAUGAACGCUGGCGGCGUGCCUAAUACAUGCAAGUCGAGCGAACAGACGAGGAGCUUGCUCCUCUGACGUUAGCGGCGGACCGGUGAGUAACACGUGGAUAACCUACCUAUAAGACUGGGAUAACUUCGGGAAACCGGAGCUAAUACCGGAUAAUAUAUUGAACCGCAUGGUUCAAUAGUGAAAGACGGUUUUGCUGUCACUUAUAGAUGGAUCCUCGCCGCAUUAGCUAGUUGGUAAGGUAACGGCUUACCAAGGCAACGAUGCGUAGCCGACCUGAGAGGGUGAUCGGCCACACUGGAACUGAGACACGGUCCAGACUCCUACGGGAGGCAGCAGUAGGGAAUCUUCCGCAAUGGGCGAAAGCUUGACGGAGCAACGCCGCGUGAGUGAUGAAGGUCUUCGGAUCGUAAAACUCUGUUAUUAGGGAAGAACAAAUGUGUAAGUAACUAUGCACGUCUUGACGGUACCUAAUCAGAAAGCCACGGCUAACUACGUG